GGUUCCGUAGGUGAAGCUGCGGAAGGAUCAUUG
RNAcentral lists this ribosomal RNA (33 nucleotides) under Koenigia nepalensis. RNAcentral describes it as "partial 18S ribosomal RNA". Lineage: Eukaryota; Viridiplantae; Streptophyta; Magnoliopsida; Caryophyllales; Polygonaceae. The record is from RNAcentral.